RNAcentral lists this ribosomal RNA (554 nucleotides) under Enterococcus faecium. RNAcentral's name for it is "bacterial SSU rRNA". It matches the Rfam family "Bacterial small subunit ribosomal RNA", at positions 783 to 1337 of the family's 1533-position model. The record is from RNAcentral. Lineage: Bacteria; Bacillati; Bacillota; Bacilli; Lactobacillales; Enterococcaceae.
UACCCUGGUAGUCCACGCCGUAAACGAUGAGUGCUAAGUGUUGGAGGGUUUCCGCCCUUCAGUGCUGCAGCUAACGCAUUAAGCACUCCGCCUGGGGAGUACGACCGCAAGGUUGAAACUCAAAGGAAUUGACGGGGGCCCGCACAAGCGGUGGAGCAUGUGGUUUAAUUCGAAGCAACGCGAAGAACCUUACCAGGUCUUGACAUCCUUUGACCACUCUAGAGAUAGAGCUUCCCCUUCGGGGGCAAAGUGACAGGUGGUGCAUGGUUGUCGUCAGCUCGUGUCGUGAGAUGUUGGGUUAAGUCCCGCAACGAGCGCAACCCUUAUUGUUAGUUGCCAUCAUUCAGUUGGGCACUCUAGCAAGACUGCCGGUGACAAACCGGAGGAAGGUGGGGAUGACGUCAAAUCAUCAUGCCCCUUAUGACCUGGGCUACACACGUGCUACAAUGGGAAGUACAACGAGUUGCGAAGUCGCGAGGCUAAGCUAAUCUCUUAAAGCUUCUCUCAGUUCGGAUUGCAGGCUGCAACUCGCCUGCAUGAAGCCGGAAUCGCUG